GCAGUAAGUACGGUCUGCCGCUGACGCCGCAAGGCGAAAGAGGAAAGUCCGGGCAACGCAGAGCAUCCUACUUCCUAACAGAAAGCCAUCUGCGAAGGUGGAGUAACGUAGAAGAAAACAACCGCCACAAUUCCUACGGGAAACGGGGUAAGGGUGAGAAGGUGGGGUAAGAGCCCACCAGCCGCAUGGUGACAUGACGGGCUGUACGUCUUAGGAGUUGUAAGGUCAUGUAAACCGACAUUAUGAGGGUUGCUCGCCCCACGUCGGAGGGUAGACCGCUAGAGCCUGUUGGUGACAACAGGCGUAGAUAAAUGGCAGGCACUUCGCCGCAAGGCGAGGAACAGAACCCGGCUUACAGGCUGACUGCUUUU
This 371-nucleotide RNase P RNA is filed under the name Phocaeicola dorei. RNAcentral describes it as "RNase P RNA component class A". It matches the Rfam family "Bacterial RNase P class A". From Rfam's summary of the family: Ribonuclease P (RNase P) is a ubiquitous endoribonuclease, found in archaea, bacteria and eukarya as well as chloroplasts and mitochondria. Lineage: Bacteria; Pseudomonadati; Bacteroidota; Bacteroidia; Bacteroidales; Bacteroidaceae. The record is from RNAcentral.